Molecule: ribosomal RNA, 467 nt
Filed under: uncultured bacterium
Lineage: Bacteria
Description: partial 16S ribosomal RNA
Rfam family: Bacterial small subunit ribosomal RNA
Source: RNAcentral
GAUGAACGCUGGCGGCGUGCUUAACACAUGCAAGUCGAACGGAAAGGCUCCUGCUUGCAGGGGUACUCGAGUGGCGAACGGGUGAGUAACACGUGGGUGAUCUGCCCUGCACUUCGGGAUAAGCCUGGGAAACUGGGUCUAAUACCGGAUAGGACCACAUCUUGGAUGGUGUGGUGGAAAGUUUUUCGGUGUGGGCUGAGCUCGCGGCCUAUCAGCUUGUUGGUGGGGUAAUGGCCUACCAAGGCGUCGACGGGUAGCCGGCCUGCGAGGGUGUACGGCCAGACUGGGACUGAGAGACGGGCCAGACUCGGACGGGAGGCAGCAGUGGGGAAUAUUGGACAAUGGGCGCAGGCGUGAGGGAGCGACGCCGCGUGGGGGAUGACGGCCUUCGGGUUGUAAAAACCGUUCGCUAGGGACGAAGCGUUUUUGUGACGGUACCUGGAGAAGAAGCACCGGCUAACUACGUG